GACGAACGCUGGCGGCAGGCCUAACACAUGCAAGUCGAGCGGAGCGGCGGACGGGUGAGUAAUGCCUAGGAAUCUGCCUGGUAGUGGGGGAUAACGUCAGGAAACGGGCGAUAAUACCGCAUACUAUCAGAUGAGCCUAGGUCGGAUUAGCUAGUGGGUGGGGUAAAGGCCUACAAAGGCGAAGUUCCGUAACUGGUCUGGGAGGAUGAUCAGUCAACCUGGAACUGAGACACGGUCCAGACUUCGACGGGAGGCAGCAGUGGGGAAUAUUGGACAAUGGGCGAAAGCCUGAUCCAGCCAUGCCGCGUGUGUGAAGAAGGUCUUCGGAUUGUAAAGCACUUUAAGUUGGGAGGCGUUACCAACAGAAUAAGCACCGGCUAACUUCGUGCCAGCAGCCGCGGUAAUUC
This 407-nucleotide ribosomal RNA is filed under the name uncultured bacterium. RNAcentral's name for it is "partial 16S ribosomal RNA". It matches the Rfam family "Bacterial small subunit ribosomal RNA", at positions 28 to 526 of the family's 1533-position model. The record is from RNAcentral.